UUAAAUCUGUGACUAUUUUUAUUUUCAAUCUAUGACAGUUACCGAGGUUCGUCAUAGAAAUUGAGCCCGAAUUUGAGUCUGGAUGGGCCAUUUGCAGAUCUAUGACGAAAAUUCACAAAUCGUCACAGACGGUGCACCGUUAAUGACAUUUUCUGAAUCCGUCACGAAGAAUCUGUCAUAGAUUAAUAGAUUUCUUGUAGUGUUUCCCUAUCUUUAUUUCCACCUCUGACUCUCUCCUUACCUUUCU
This 247-nucleotide long non-coding RNA is filed under the name Setaria viridis. RNAcentral's name for it is "long non-coding RNA (SVIR_LNC007225)". Lineage: Eukaryota; Viridiplantae; Streptophyta; Magnoliopsida; Poales; Poaceae. The record is from RNAcentral.